CCUACGUGGUGCUGCAGUGGGGAAUAUUGGACAAUGGGCGAAAGCCUGAUCCAGCCAUGCCGCGUGUGUGAAGAAGGCCUUCGGGUUGUAAAGCACUUUCAGUGGGGAAGAAAGCCUUGGGGCUAAUACCCUCGAGGAAGGACAUCACCCACAGAAGAAGCACCGGCUAACUCCGUGCCAGCAGCCGCGGUAAUACGGAGGGUGCGAGCGUUAAUCGGAAUUACUGGGCGUAAAGCGAGCGUAGGCGGUCUGAUAAGCCGGUUGUGAAAGCCCCGGGCUCAACCUGGGAACGGCAUCCGGAACUGUCAGGCUAGAGUGCAGGAGAGGAAGGUAGAAUUCCCGGUGUAGCGGUGAAAUGCGUAGAGAUCGGGAGGAAUACCAGUGGCGAAGGCGGCCUUCUGGACUGACACUGACGCUGAGGUGCGAAAGCGUGGGUAGCAAACAGGAUUAGAUACCCUGGUAGUC
Molecule: ribosomal RNA, 465 nt
Filed under: Vreelandella stevensii
Lineage: Bacteria; Pseudomonadati; Pseudomonadota; Gammaproteobacteria; Oceanospirillales; Halomonadaceae
Description: partial 16S ribosomal RNA
Rfam family: Bacterial small subunit ribosomal RNA
Source: RNAcentral